This is a long non-coding RNA of Oreochromis niloticus (Nile tilapia), 3082 nucleotides long. RefSeq lists it as uncharacterized. NCBI's taxonomy places the organism in Eukaryota, Metazoa, Chordata, Actinopteri, Cichliformes, Cichlidae. The transcript has 5 exons. The record is from RefSeq and is a predicted model, not a curated record.
UUUUCUGGAUAACUGAUUAGUUAGUACGUAGUGAUUUUAUAACUGCUGGUCUCUAAUCUGUAUUAUGAACUUUCUUUGCUCACGUAAAUAUGUGUGUUUUCUGGGCCAAGUAACUCUUAUUUGGCACAAAAUGAUCCCUAUGAGUAUCAGCUCCUUCAAAAGGGUAGUUAUUAGAGGAUGGUGAUAAAUUGGUCAUUAAAAGCUAUAAAGAACAUAUAAAUAUAACAGUAAAAUGCAACAUUUUUACAAACCAAGAGAUUAAUGCUGCAGAAAAUAGUUAAUCUUGGGGCUUAGCACACCGAGUGUUGAAAUAAACAUUUAAAUUAAAGUUAACCUAUUUUAGGUCAAAUUGCUGCAACUCCUGAACCACUGGCACAACUGAAAAAUUCAAACGGCUCCUGAAAGCAUCAACUCUGUGCUUUUUCAGUGAUAUAAGGGUCAUUACUAUAAGCCCAGGCAGGUGCUACAUCCAAAUUUUGGCAAAUAACACAGAAAACAACACAGCAAAAACAAAACUAUAAAAACAUGGUUGUGUGUGUGUUUUGUGUAGGGCUCCAUCACACUCACUAACUCUCUCUUCUGUCAGCCAACCUCCAACCGUCUUUUUGGGGUUGCUGCAACACUGUGCCUGGGAUUACUGUAAUGACCCUAAAAUCACUGACAAGCACAGAGUCACUGUUUUCAGGAACCAUUGAAAGUCUUUCAUUUGAAAUGGUUCAGGAGUUAUGGGAGUUACAGAUGUUGAAAAUGUUGCAAAACCCCUGUCUGAGGCUAUUGACAGGUGCUGCUGUUUAUUUCUAAGGCACAGUGGCAUAUUAGAGCUCUGAAAUUUUAAAUAGAUCUAAUUAAACAUUGGAAAUCAAUUUAGUCUGUCAGCAGAAAAGUAAAAUUAAUUUGGCUUUCCGUGCCAGUUACACACUCCCCUUCUUAUUCCAAAUAAGCACACCCUCCAAGCAGCAACUAUCACACACAUAGCAGUCAUAGAAAAAAGUGUGUUUCAGUGUUAAAUGUAGUGCAAUUUACAGUAAAUUGUCCACCACAAACCUUAGUAGAGUUUAAGUUUUGGUAGAACAGUCAAGCUGUGCUCAUUAGUCUAGCAUAGAAAUUUUGUAAUUUCUUUUUAAUUAUUAGAUCAGAUAAUUUUAGUGCUAUUUUUGUAAUUCCAUUAAAAAAUGCAGUUUGCCAGUUAGGUAAUCAAAUAACGAUCAGUUACAGCUGACUUACAGGCCAGUCACCUGUCAGUCAAAGUGGCCAUGCCCUUACCUACCAUCACUGUCCAAAUGACCCACCAUACAGUUGUUAUGAAGUUUGAAACUGUACUGUACAGGGAAAAUUAUUUCUUGUACCAGGUUGUAGGUGUGCAUUUUAAUGGUAUUUAGUGGAGGAUUUUAAAUUGUAAACUGUUGGUUACAUAGCCCAUUUCUACUCUACUUCAGCACUCAAAGCUCACGUAGAGCUCAAACUUCAGAGACGAACACAAAGGAGAUUUCCUGCAUCUUUGAACGGCUGACAGUGACUUUAAUAAAGUAAUGGUUCCAUGGGGUCAUCCUCUAUGGGGGAUUUGGAUUAAUAAGAAAUUUUCUGCAACAAAGAAUAGCAGGUACAAUCAGUACAGUAUUUUUUAUCUGAACACUGAAUAAGACAUGAUCCUGUCACAUUCACAUAUAUUUUCAUACUGGUUAUACCAGGUAAAGGAGCUAAGAUAUCGUCAGUUCUGAUAACAGAGAGUCUCUUUCAUUUAAACCAUUUCUGUUCACGUUUUAAUCAAAACAUGAAAAGUGUUACUAUUUAAUGUACCUGUUAAAAGACUUUGUGUCUUCUCACUAUGUUCACAGGUUGAACUCUGUUGACGUCAAGUACCAGAUCUGGAAGCUGGGGGUUGUGUUCACAGACAAUGGUUAAUCAUUGAUGCCUUUGGAGAUCUGAGGGAUCAGCAGGAACAAGUGAAAGAAGACAUGGAGACCAAAUGUUUUAUCUGUGGAAUAGGUAAUGACUACUUUGACACCGUGCCACACGGCUUUGAAACGCACACUCUACAGGAGCACAACUUAGCCAACUACCUAUUCUUUCUGAUGUAUCUCAUCAACAAAGAUGAAACAGAGCACACAGGCCAGGAGUCUUACGUAUGGAAAAUGUACCAGGAACGUUGUUGGGAGUUUUUCCCCGCUGGUGACUGUUUCCGGAAACAGUAUGAGGAUCAGCUCAACUGAGUCAACCUUGGAGUGACAGACUCUUAACUCUGAAAGGCCGACUGCAGCCAUCUGGCCUCUGCUUGUCCCUCAAACGUUUAUUACUUUUCUGAGGAGGCUGUACCAAAUGAUGGGUUCCUCUCUAUGCGUCAUCUCUCCUCAAGUGGCCAGGCUCUUCAACGAGAUGCACCCUGCCAUUGUCAUCCAGACAGUCAGCUCCACCCCCCGACCUUUAGCACACUCUGCUUUUGAGACCUUGUACAUAGAAAACUUCAGAAAAUAUGAUGUACAAUACAUGACAGGUAGCAGGUCUAGAAUUUUUUCACUCUGAUGACUUCCUUGCUUCCUCUUAUUCUAUAUUCAAAGUAACUUGCAAAAAUACAAAGGAUUAAUGGAUUGAGGGUAAAAGAAGAAACCUAAAGAAUGUUUUACUUUUAAUAUGACCAUGUCUACGCCCUUUCAUGUUUAUAAUGCACGAUUCAUAUAGGUACAGGUGGUGGAUACAAUAAUCAAACAAGUUGACGACUUAUUCUGGCAAGAAGAACUCUGCAGCAAAUCUACACUUCAAUAAGCUUAAAGACGUGCUGACCUGAAUACGAUGGACAACGAAAAUCGAACACAGCACCAAAGUGGAGACUUCAGAACAAUCAGAAAGCUGAAUGAAGCCCCUGUGCAAAGAGGAACAUUUUCACAAACAGAGCUGCUGUGUUGAGUUGAAUUACAGUUUGGUCCAAGAGUUUGAACAAUGACACAUGUUCUUCUCACUUUACUUACUUAUACCACCAUCACAGUGGAUCUCAAGUCAAACAAUGUAGAUCACUAAAUACUUGAUUUGCCUUCAGCUACUGCUUGUUUGUGUUCUUCAGCCUUCACUUUUUGUUCGGUAAAUGAAA